CAUAUAAGUGGAAUCAUACAGUACUUUCCUUCAGUUGUAACACAUGUAUCACACUAGUGCAGGAUGUGAAUGAUUAAGGAGGGCGUGUUAGGGUGUAGGUAAUUAGUGUACAGAGUCCCCAUUAGAGUAGACCGGCACUUUCUGUACUUUCCGCGACAUAUUUUUUUUCUGUAAAUCUAAAGCUGUUUUUUUUAAAAGGCUGUUAAUUUCUUUUUAAAGGAUAACAGAUGCCAAUCAGGCAAAAACCACAGGUGUCCAUUAUAUGAGUCCUUUGCGGCAGCAGGUGUCCAUUCUAAAAAUAGUUUGCACGUCUGGGGGUGAUUACGGAGACUGGAAGGGAUAAUGAAGGUGUGUGCCCUUUGCAGCCUCAAGUAUCUGAGACCAAGGUCAUUCACGAUGCCUGGGCACACGGUUUCUCUCUCCCUGUGAUGUCGUUCUCGAGACCGCUCCUAUGACUGCUGCUGCGGAGACACGGAGCCAAUCCAGAGCGGACUGCCAGUGACGACACCAGUCGCCAAGGCCUCCAAGGGCCCAGAACAUAGUGGCGCCCUCUGGCGGGGAAAGGGAGGCAGUAUGUGAGAGACAGCCAAUCUGGUCAGCUGACUUCGGCCAAGUUCCAGUGCCUGGUGCAACACCCCCUGGCAACUCAAGUCACUUUCCAUCUCCAGAAACCCGACCAGAAGAGAGACAUGCUGAGAGGAAGCAAAGAUCAAGAAUCCUGGCAUCCAAUCAGAUACAGGAAUUAACGCAACAGCCGUCCAAUCAGAUGAGCGGAUCCAACCAAAUAGAGCAGCGUGAGGCGCGAUAAAAGGCGGGAAAGAGCCUGAGGCGAAGCGUGAGGUGAGACGACCAGGUGGACCAGGGGGACGACCGGGUUGACUGACGGACCCAUGGACGGAGGGGGACCCCCUCUGAGCCGGAAACGCUCUGGCAGAGGAUGUGGCCUCUUAAAAAAUCUUCCUGAGGGACAGAGCCCCAGAGAUGGCCCGACAGAGAAAGGCUAGAGGAAAGUGACGCCCCCUACACACACACACACACACACACACACACACACACACACACACACACACGCGCGACGGUCAAGCCA
RNAcentral lists this long non-coding RNA (1087 nucleotides) under Sus scrofa (pig). RNAcentral's name for it is "lncRNA (ENSSSCG00005012195.1)". The record is from RNAcentral. Lineage: Eukaryota; Metazoa; Chordata; Mammalia; Artiodactyla; Suidae.